AGAGUUUGAUCCUGGCUCAGAUUGAACGCUGGCGGCAUGCCUUACACAUGCAAGUCGAACGCGAAAGUAGGGGCAACCCUGCGAGUAGAGUGGCGAACGGGUGAGUAACACAUCGGAACGUACCCAGGAGUGGGGGACAACCUCGAGAAAUCGAGGCUAAUACCGCAUACGUCCUGAGGGAGAAAGCGGGGGAUUCGCAAGGACCUCGCGCUCAUGGAGCGGCCGAUGUCGGAUUAGCUAGUUGGCGGGGUAAAGGCCCACCAAGGCUACGAUCCGUAGCUGGUUUGAGAGAACGACCAGCCCCACUGGGACUGAGACACGGCCCAGACUCCUACGGGAGGCAGCAGUGGGGAAUUUUGGACAAUGGGCGCAAGCCUGAUCCAGCCAUGCCGCGUGAGUGAAGAAGGCCUUCGGGUUGUAAAGCUCUUUCGGCCGGAACGAAAUCGCGUACGUGAAUAACGUGCGUGGAUGACGGUACUGGAAGAAGAAGCACCGGCUAACUACGUGCCAGCCGCCGCGGUAAUACA
RNAcentral lists this ribosomal RNA (527 nucleotides) under uncultured Zoogloea sp. RNAcentral's name for it is "bacterial SSU rRNA". It matches the Rfam family "Bacterial small subunit ribosomal RNA", at positions 8 to 527 of the family's 1533-position model. Lineage: Bacteria; Pseudomonadati; Pseudomonadota; Betaproteobacteria; Rhodocyclales; Zoogloeaceae. The record is from RNAcentral.